CCUACGGGCGGCAGCAGUGGGGAAUAUUGGGCAAUGGGCGCGAGCCUGAACCAGCCAAGUAGCGUGAAGGAUGACUGCCCUACGGGUUGUAAACUUCUUUUAUAAAGGAAUAAAGUGAGGCACGUGUGCCUUUUUGUAUGUACUUUAUGAAUAAGGAUCGGCUAACUCCGUGCCAUCAGCCGCGGUAAUACGGAGGAUCCGAGCGUUAUCCGGAUUUAUUGGGUUUAAAGGGAGCGUAGAUGGGUUGUUAAGUCAGUUGUGAAAGUUUGCGGCUCAACCGUAAAAUUGCAAUUGAUACUGGCAGUCUUGAGUACAGUUGAGGUAGGCGGAAUUCGUGGUGUAGCGGUGAAAUGCUUAGAUAUCACGAAGAACUCCGAUUGCGAAGGCAGCUUACUAAACUGCCACUGACAUUGAUGCUCGAAAGUGUGGGUAUCAAACAGGAUUAGAUACCCGGGUAGUC
RNAcentral lists this ribosomal RNA (460 nucleotides) under uncultured bacterium. Its description in RNAcentral is "partial 16S ribosomal RNA". It matches the Rfam family "Bacterial small subunit ribosomal RNA", at positions 338 to 795 of the family's 1533-position model. The record is from RNAcentral.